Molecule: ribosomal RNA, 467 nt
Filed under: uncultured bacterium
Lineage: Bacteria
Description: partial 16S ribosomal RNA
Rfam family: Bacterial small subunit ribosomal RNA
Source: RNAcentral
GACGAACGCUGGCGGCGUGCUUAACACAUGCAAGUCGAACGGAAAGGCCUCUUUCGGGGGGUACUCGAGUGGCGAACGGGUGAGUAACACGUGAGUAACCUGCCCUUGACUUUGGGAUAACUUCAGGAAACUGGGGCUAAUACCGGAUAGGAGCUCCUGCUGCAUGGUGGGGGUUGGAAAGUUUCGGCGGUUGGGGAUGGACUCGCGGCUUAUCAGCUUGUUGGUGGGGUAGUGGCUUACCAAGGCUUUGACGGGUAGCCGGCCUGAGAGGGUGACCGGCCACAUUGGGACUGAGAUACGACCCAGACUCCUACGGGAGGCAGCAGUGGGGAAGAUUGCACAAUGGGUGGAAGCCUGAUGCAGCAACGCCGUGUGCGGGAUGACGGCCUUCGGGUUGUAAACCGCUUUCGCUCAUGACGAAGCUUUGUGUGACGGUAGUGGGUAAAGAAGCACCGGCUAACUACGUG